ACUUCCCUGAAACACACAAUGUAACGCAGAGUUUCCCAACCUUUAUUGUGCCAAGGCAUUAGAACAAGAAUGUCAUGAAAAUGUUUUUACUGAACACUGAAAUAAUGAUGAUCUGACAAAUUUACUUGAUCAGUGUGUAAUCUUGCCCUCUUUACUUAACUUUAUUUAUAGUGUUAUUUAUAUAUUUAUAGUCCUGCACAUAAAUAAUUAUCAUAAGUAAAACAAUUUAAACAUUAAGUUAAAAAUAAUUGAGUGAGAAUCAAAAUUACACAAAUCAAAUUUUUGUAUACAGUGACCCACAGGAAAUUAUUCAAUUUCAUAUAAUUGGUCACAUUUCUUUUUAUUUAUUUAAUACAAAUAACUUAUUUGGUUCAUUAGGGCGGGGUAUGGUUAAGAACCACACGAUUCAAUUCAAUUUCGAUUCUUUAGUUUGUGAUGCAAUUCGUUGUGAUUUGAUUCAUUUUGAUUUAAAUACUUUGAUGUCGAGUCAGUAAGAAGUAGAAACACACAAAUAGACCUUACUUUUGUCUAUAACCUGUGUUCCGGAAUUACACAGGAAUCCAAAUUAACCCGAAACGUCAGAUAAAAGAUCACUGUGGCUGAGCUCCAGAGAUGCAGUCGGGAGAUGAGAGAAAGUUCUAGAAAGUCAACCAUCAUUGCAGCCCUCUACCAGUCGGGGCUUUAUAGCAGCGAAGGCUCUCCUAAGUACAAGACACAUGAAAGCCUGCGUGGAGUUGGUUAAAAAAAUUCCUGAAAGAUGAAAACCAGGCACUGCUCAUCACCUGUCCAAUACAGUCCCAACAGCGAAGCAUAGUAGUGGCAGCAUCAUGCUGUGGGGGUGUUUUUCAUCUGCAGGGACAGGAAGACUUGUUGCAAUCGAAGGAAAGAUGAAUGUAGGCAAGUACAGGGAUAUCUUGGACGAAAACCUUCUCCAGAGUGCUCAGGACCUCAGACUGGGCCGAAGGUUUACCUUCCAACAAGACAAUGACCCAAAGCACACAGCUAAAAUAACGAAGGAGUGGCUUCAGAACAACUCCGUGGCUGUUUUUGAAUGGCCCAGCCAGAGCCCUGACUUAAACCCAAUUGAGCAUCUCCUGAAAAGACCUGAAAAUGGCUGCCCGCCAACGGUCACCAUCCAACCUGACAGAACUGGAAAGGAUCUGCAAGGCGGAAUUGGCAGACGAUCCCCAAAUCCAGGUGUGAAAAACUUGUUGCAUCAUUCCCAAAAAGACUUGGGAUUGUAUUAGCUCAAAAGGGUGCUUCUACUACAUACUGAGCGAAGGGUCUGAAUACUUAUGGCUGUGUGAUAUUUCAGUUCUUCUUUUUUAAUAAAUCUGAAACAAUUUCAACAAUUCCGUUUUUUUUCUGUCAAUAUGGGGUGCUGUGUGUACAUUAAUGAAGAAAAAGAUUAACUUAAAUGAUUUUAGCAAAUGGCUGCAAUACAACAAAGAGUGAAAAAAUUAAGGGGGUCUGAAUACUUUCCGUACCCACUGUAUAUGUGUGUGUCUGCGUGUGUGUGUGAUUAAUAAAUGGUGAUUUUCGAUCAAAUUAAGUGAAAUAGGAUAAUUUCCCAUAGCCCCCUUGAUGAUCUCUCAAGAACCUUGAUAAAGAAUCACUACUGUAGUCUUUUAAUAAAUCAUACCGGACUGUAGUUAAGACACCGCGACCCUAGUGAGGAGAAGCGGCUCAGAAAAUGGAUGGAUGGAUAGUUAAGACAAGAAAAAUCAAAAAUCAAAAGUCAAGAACUUUAUGAUGCCAAUAGGGGGCAGCAAAGUACUGUAUAAUAAUUUGCCUGUGUUCUAAUAAAGACAGUGAAAAAUAA
Molecule: long non-coding RNA, 1822 nt
Organism: Phyllopteryx taeniolatus (common seadragon)
Lineage: Eukaryota; Metazoa; Chordata; Actinopteri; Syngnathiformes; Syngnathidae
Exons: 2
Source: RefSeq, a predicted model, not a curated record